UACGAAGGGGGCUAGCGUUGCUCGGAAUGACUGGGCGUAAAGGGCGCGUAGGCGGUUUGUACAGUCAGGUGUGAAAUUCCCGGGCUCAACCUGGGGGCGGCACUUGAGACGUAGGAACUGGAGUGAGGAAGAGGGUCGUGGAAUUCCCAGUGUAGAGGUGAAAUUCGUAGAUAUCAGGAGGAACAUCGGUGGCGAAGGCGGCCUCCUGGACACUUACUGACGCUGAGACGCGAAAGCGUGGGGAGCAAACAGG
This 253-nucleotide ribosomal RNA is filed under the name uncultured bacterium. RNAcentral's name for it is "partial 16S ribosomal RNA". It matches the Rfam family "Bacterial small subunit ribosomal RNA", at positions 524 to 776 of the family's 1533-position model. The record is from RNAcentral.